Long non-coding RNA from Oreochromis niloticus (Nile tilapia), 3681 nucleotides. RefSeq annotates it as CD276 antigen. NCBI's taxonomy places the organism in Eukaryota, Metazoa, Chordata, Actinopteri, Cichliformes, Cichlidae. The record is from RefSeq and is a predicted model, not a curated record. The transcript is spliced from 7 exons.
AGUGCUUGUAGGUCCUUUAUGCAAGCCUGUAGUCUGUAUAAUUAUAUCGAUAAAGAAAAUUUAUCUGAAACACCGUGUCGAUGCCUGUGUGUCAGGUUAACAUCCAGCCUUGGCUUAACUUUAUAUGGAAAUCUCGCUGUUUUAAUGAAAACAGAAUCUGAAUUUCUUAUUGAUGCUCGUCAGAAAAACCAGAAACCUUCUACCUGCACUCCAAGCUUCUCGGGAUCUUGGAGGAAUGACACGCUCCUUCCCGUCCGUAGGCGGUGCUUGCGCAUUUUGUUUUUCUCGUGUCUGGAACGAACAUCUGGAGCGCAGUGACUCACAUCCACAACACAUACAAACUCCGGCGUAAAAAUGUGGAGCUACUUCACGGAGUGCUAAAUCCUGCCUGUUCUCCGGUGGGUUUCUGCACACAGGCUGUCGGGAGAGUUAUGAAACUAAUGUGUGGGCAUGUUCAAACUUGUCUUCAGGUAACACACAAAGAAUGAAAAACCUGCCUAUCUGGAUGUAACUGCCACACCGUAUGAUAAUUUUUUCUGUUCACUGCUGCACCGUCACAUAAACUGUUAGAGAAAUAUGACCAGGGUCUGCUGCAUCAUCUUUUUGGUGGUCGUGGAGUUUCUGUGGAUACUGAGAGUUUCCAGAGGAGACUCUCAGGUCUCCUGUAUUUUUAUGGAGAGAUGCAUCUUGCCAUGCAGCUUCCAUGGCAGCUCUGAACCUGUUGUCCACUGGAUUAAGACAGAAGCAAACCAUUAUGUCCAUUCAUACUACGCUCAACAAGACCAGCUUGCAACACAAAACCAGCGCUUCAAAAGUAGGACUUCACUUUUCAAGGAUCAGGUCUCCAGAGGAAACGCCUCACUCCAGCUGACAGAGGUGAACGUUCAGGAUGAGGGGAGAUACCAGUGCCACACCAGCACCAUCAGUGGAAACAAAGAAAUGGUCAUCAUCCUGAAUGUGGACGCUCCAGUCCGUAAAGUUAAUCUCCAACAAGUAGGACAAAGGAUCACCUGCAGCUCAGAGGGGAUCUACCCUCAACCUAAUCUCACCUGGUCCACCAACCCUUCAUCCAGCAUCACCAACAACAACACAACAGCCCAUCAGAUUGACCAGCAGCUUUACAACAUCAGCAGUUCUCUGAUACUUCCAAAGAGUGACAUGGAUCUGAAUUACAGCUGUGCAGUCAGCACUCGCAGAAACAGGAGGAGAGCAACCUUCAGGCAACAAGGAUUAGUGACUGAGAGCCAGUCUGACACAACAAUCCACUGUUCCCCCUCACACACCCCUGUAACAAACCUCAUCUGGAGAUUCGACCACAGUCAGAUCAUCCUGACAAAGACUGACAGUCAGUACACAGUCUCAGAGGAGUGGAAGCAGCAUGUAAAGGAUGUGUCAGAGUCAGGCAGCCUCACACUGCAGGACUUAUCCUCAGAUCAGGAGGGAACAUACACGUGUGAACUCGCUGAUGCUGUGGAGACUAAAAUAACUAAUAUCCUCGUGAAGAUCAAUGAAGGGAAUUCAUCUAAUGUUGGAGCAAUCGUAGGAGUGGUCAUUGCAGUCAUUGUAGUUUUAGCCUUAUUAGUAACUGGAUGGCUGUGGAAUAAUCAGAAAUGCUGCUUUUCAUGAAUCACUGAAGCCAGUUUUCCUGUGAGGAAAGAAAUGCCAUGUGACACCAAACAAUAUUUACAAAGGAGUCUCAGGGUCACAUGAAGGUAAAAUAAUGUUUUAUCAGUUUUUACACUAAAAGUGUCCCACAGAUGCUGCGACUUUUGUCCAAACUGCAGUAUUAGUGUAAAACCUCAACAAGCAGACGAGUGAGGACUUUGAUGCUGGGAAGGAAACAGAAAGAAGAGUCUGUCUGCUGAAUUCAAACUGGGAGCUGGUUCCACAGGAGAGGAUUCUGAAAGCUGAAGGCUCUGCCUCCCAUUCUAGUUUUAAAGACUGGGAAUCACCAGUACGACUGCAGUCUGACAGCGACGUGCUCUGUUGGGAUCAUGCGGUACUAUACGGUUAUUAAGAUGUGAUGGGGCCUCAUUAUUCAAGGUGUUGCAUGUGAAAAAUGUGUUGAACAAUUUUUAUGAUAAGUUUGAAUACUGUAAUUGUUUCUGAUUAUAUCUCAGAUUUUCCCUGCUGGUUCUUACAUAUCACCCAAUAUUUUUAAUCUCAAGCUUCUUGGAUUAACUGGAUGUUUAUUUGGCAGUUUUUAGAACAACCUGAUUAUAAAUGAAUUACAACAGUCAAGCCUGGCAAUAAAAAAAUAAAUGUGAACAAAAUCUCAUUCUAAAGCAGACUUUCACUAACUCUGCACUAAAAUUGCAGUUUUACAUGAAAUAUCAACUUUAUAUUGACAUUUUUACGUUGGUGUUGAAAUAUGUUUUUCAUCUGUAAUUAUUUUUUCCAUGUAAUUCUCAAAGCAGUAUUAAUAUGUUCAGUUUAAUGAGUACGGUUUACUUUAGAUUUUUUAAAUAUUUUAAAAACAUUUUCAAUGCCAACUUUGAAUGCUCACAUUGUUUCUGGAACAAGGAGCUGAAAUAAUUUUGUCUCUCAUGUAAACUCAACAGGAACUUUCAUAGAUGGAAAACCUGCUUUAGAUCUGUUUUUUGAAGUCAUCUAACUCGUGAUUUCAGUGUGAAUGGUACCACAGUUUGAGCACUUUGCAUGGAUGUUUUUAUGUAUCAGACUCUUGUUUCUACUCUGGAUUUAAACAGUAAAGACAAAAGCAGGGAUAGAUGAACUGGAACAGAGGCAGCUGCUUUGUAAGUGACCAGUACAGUCGUGGCCAAAAGUUUUGAGAAUGACACAAAUAUUAGUUUUCACAAAGUUUGCUGCUAAACUGCUUUUAGAUCUUUGUUGUCAGUUGUGUCUGUGAUGAACUGAAAUAUAAUUACAAGCACUUCAUAUGUUUCAAAGGCUUUUAUCGACAAUUACAUGACAUUUAUGCAAAGAGUCAGUAUUUGCAGUGUUGGCCCUACUUUUUCAGGACCUCUGCAAUUCAACAGGGCAUGCUCUCAAUCAUCUUCUGGGUCAAAUCCUGACUGAUAGCAACCCAUUCUGUCAUAAUCACUUCUUGGAGUUUGUCAGAAUUAGUGGGGUUUUGUUUGUCCACCUGCCUCUUGAGGAUUGACCACAAAUUAUCAAUGGGAUUAAGAUCUGAGGAGUUUCCAGGCCAUGGACCCCAAAUUUCAACGUUUUGGUCUCCGAGCCACUUAGUCAUCACUUUUGCCUUAUGGCACGGUGCCCCAUCGUGCUGGAAAAUGCAUUGUUCUUCACCAAACUGUUGUUGGAUUGUUGGAAGAAGUUGCUGUUGGAGGCUGUUCUGGUACCAUUCUUUAUUCAUGGCUGUGUUUUGGGGGCAAAAUUGUGAGUGAGCCCACUCCCUUGGAUGAGAAGCAACCCCACACAUGAAUGGUCUCAGGAUGCUUUACUGUUGGCAUGACACAGGACUGAUGGUAGCGCUCACCUUUUCUUCUCCGGACAAGCCUUUUUCCAGAUGCCCCAAACAAUCAGAAAGAGGCUUCAUUGGAGAAUAUGACUUUGCCCCAGUCCUCAGCAGUCCAUUCACCAUACUUUCUGUGGAAGAUCAAUCUGUCCCUCAUGUGUUUUUUGGAGAGUAGUGGCUUCUUUGCUGCCCUUCUUGACACCAGGCCAUCUUCCAACAGUCUUCGCCUCACUGUGCGUGCA